Molecule: ribosomal RNA, 253 nt
Filed under: uncultured prokaryote
Description: partial 16S ribosomal RNA
Rfam family: Bacterial small subunit ribosomal RNA
Source: RNAcentral
ACGUAGGUGGCAAGCGUUGUCCGGAUUUAUUGGGUUUAAAGGGUGCGUAGGCGGCUUUGUAAGUCAGUGGUAAAAUACGGCAGCUCAACUGUCGAGGUGCCAUUGAUACUGCAGAGCUAGAGUACUGAUGAGGUAGGCGGAAUGGACGGUGUAGCGGUGAAAUGCUUAGAUAUCGUCCAGAACACCGAUAGCGAAGGCAGCUUACUAAAGAGUAACUGACGCUGAGGCACGAAAGUGUGGGGAUCAAACAGGA